GCGAAACCUACACUGCAUGGCGCAAAAAGUAAUACACUGUCGAUUGUUAUUUGGGCGCGAAGAAAAGUGGUUCAACUACAGUAAGCUCGUGGACUAUAUUUUCUGAUGAAUAUGUCAGGGAAAAAAGAUGAUGAUGAUACAGACAAGUUUAUUGAUGACUAUAUAAAGGUGGCACAAAAAUGUGUUAUGCGGUGCGUGUCGCUGUUCGCGACUACUGUUACUCCAGAGGAGAUGGAGUGCAUUAGACAAUGCAUUCGACAUGAAAUGUAUAUCAUGCGGCAGCGUAAAAACAAUAGAUUACCAGAAGCCAUCAAGUAAAACUGUUCUGGAUGCUGAGAGACCUAUAAGUGAACUGAUAUGGAAUUUAUGUUAAAACGAAUUCUCUAAAAUAAAUAUUUAUUAAUAAAAAUGAUUGAUGAGGUGA
Molecule: long non-coding RNA, 424 nt
Organism: Schistocerca piceifrons (Central American locust)
Lineage: Eukaryota; Metazoa; Arthropoda; Insecta; Orthoptera; Acrididae
Exons: 3
Source: RefSeq, a predicted model, not a curated record